UAUGUGAUCGUCUCUCGCAUAUCAAUAAGCGGAGGAAAAGAAACUAACAAGGAUUCCCCUAGUAACGGCGAGUGAAGCGGGAAGAGCUCAAAUUUGAAAUCUUAAAGGGUUUCCCUUUACGAAUUGUAGUCUAAAGAAGUGUUUUCUGUUGAGGUUUUGGUAAAAGUUCUUUGGAAUAGGACAUCAUAGAGGGUGAGAGUCCCGUAUUUGACCUUUACUUUCAACUUUGUGAUACACUUUCAAAGAGUCGGAUUGUUUGGGAAUGCAGUCCAAAAUGGGUGGUAAAUUUCAUCUAAAGCUAAAUAUUGGCGAGAGACCGAUAGCGAACAAGUACCGUGAGGGAAAGAUGAAAAGAACUUUGAAAAGAGAGUUAAACAGUACGUGAAAUUGUCAAAAGGGAAGCGUUUGACACCAGUGUUGUUUUUCUGAAAAUCAAUUAAAGAACUGUUUAUGCUAAGCUGUUAGACUUUAUCAGCUAUCUGUUUAGUUUUGAGCUUUUCUUUAAUGCACUUUUCAGUUAACAAGUCAACAUCAAUUUCUUUUGCUGUAAAAAAGCUUGAGGAAGGUGGCUUGAGAUUCGUCUUAAGUGUUUAUAGCCUCUUGCCUAUGCAGUCGGAGAGAUUGAGGUCUGCAGCGUAGAUCCUUCGGGGCUAAAUGCAUUUGUGCUAAGUUAUAGCAUUUUAUAGACAACUUGUUGACUAUGAUUUGUCUUGUAGCUUACUCGCUUAUGUUAUUUUACCUACGCUUAGGAUGUUGAAGACUCUACAGAGAUA
RNAcentral lists this ribosomal RNA (773 nucleotides) under uncultured Neocallimastigales. Its description in RNAcentral is "partial large subunit ribosomal RNA". It matches the Rfam family "Eukaryotic large subunit ribosomal RNA", at positions 24 to 633 of the family's 3401-position model. Lineage: Eukaryota; Fungi; Neocallimastigomycota; Neocallimastigomycetes; Neocallimastigales. The record is from RNAcentral.